Molecule: ribosomal RNA, 499 nt
Filed under: uncultured bacterium
Lineage: Bacteria
Description: partial 16S ribosomal RNA
Rfam family: Bacterial small subunit ribosomal RNA
Source: RNAcentral
GACGAACGCUGGCGGCGUGCCUAAUACAUGCAAGUCGAGCGGACUGAAUGGGAGCUUGCUCUUGUUCGGUCAGCGGCGGACGGGUGAGUAACACGUGGGCAACCUGCCCGCAAGACCGGGAUAACUCCGGGAAACCGGAGCUAAUACCGGAUAACACCGAAGACCGCAUGGUCUUUGGUUGAAAGGCGGCGCAAGCUGCCACUUGCGGAUGGGCCCGCGGCGCAUUAGCUAGUUGGUGAGGUAACGGCUCACCAAGGCGACGAUGCGUAGCCGGCCUGAGAGGGUGACCGGCCACACUGGGACUGAGACACGGCCCAGACUCCUACGGGAGGAAGCAGUAGGGAAUCUUCCGCAAUGGGCGAAAGCCUGACGGAGCGACGCCGCGUGAGCGAAGAAGGCCUUCGGGUCGUAAAGCUCUGUUGUGAGGGACGAAGGAGCGCCGUUUGAAGAAGGCGGCGCGGUGACGGUACCUCACGAGGAAGCCCCGGCUAACUACGUG